AUACGGAGGAUCCGAGCGUUAUCCGGAUUUAUUGGGUUUAAAGGGUGCGCAGGCGGGAGAUUAAGUCGGCGGUGAAAUUUUGCAGCUCAACUGUAAAAGUGCCUUCGAAACUGGUUUCCUUGAGUGUAGAUGAAGUAGGCGGAAUUUGUGGUGUAGCGGUGAAAUGCAUAGAUAUCACGAGGAACUCCGAUUGCGCAGGCAGCUUACUAAACUACUACAGACGCUCAGGCACGAAGGCGUGGGGAUCAAACAGGAUUAGAUACCCUGGUAGUCCACGCAGUAAACGAUGAUUACUAGCUGUUUGCGAUACAAUGUAAGCGGCUGAGCGAAAGCGUUAAGUAAUCCACCUGGGGAGUACGUUCGCAAGAAUGAAACUCAAAUGAAUUGACGGGG
This 393-nucleotide ribosomal RNA is filed under the name uncultured bacterium. Its description in RNAcentral is "partial 16S ribosomal RNA". It matches the Rfam family "Bacterial small subunit ribosomal RNA", at positions 523 to 918 of the family's 1533-position model. The record is from RNAcentral.